RNAcentral lists this ribosomal RNA (563 nucleotides) under uncultured marine Phaeocystaceae. RNAcentral describes it as "SSU rRNA". It matches the Rfam family "Eukaryotic small subunit ribosomal RNA", at positions 69 to 631 of the family's 1831-position model. The record is from RNAcentral. Lineage: Eukaryota; Haptophyta; Phaeocystales; Phaeocystaceae.
GCGACUUGUACUGUGAAACUGCGAAUGGCUUAUAAAAUCAGUUAUGGUUUAUUUGAUGGUACCUUACUACUUGGAUAACCGUAGUAAUUCUAGAGCUAAUACAUGCAGGGAUUCCCGACUUUGGAAGGGAUGUAUUUAUUAGAUAAGAGACCUUCUCGGGUUCGCCCGGUUGUGUGCUGAGUCAUAAUAACUGCUCGAAUCGCACGGCUCUACGCCGGCGAUGGUUCAUUCAAAUUUCUGCCCUAUCAGCUUUCGAUGGUAGGAUAGAGGCCUACCAUAGCGUUAACGGGUAACGGAGAAUUAGGGUUCGAUUCCGGAGAGGGAGCCUGAGAAAUGGCUACCACAUCCAAGGAAGGCAGCAGGCGCGUAAGUUGCCCGAAUCCUGACACAGGGAGGUAGUGACAAGAAAUAACAAUACAGGGCUAAUUAUAGUCUUGUAAUUGGAAUGAGUACAACUUACAUCUCUUCACGAGGAUCAACUGGAGGGCAAGUCUGGUGCCAGCAGCCGCGGUAAUUCCAGCUCCAGAAGCGUAUAUUAAAGUUGUUGCAGUUAAAACGCUCGU